GUCCACGCCGUAAACGAUGAUUACUCGGUGCUAGCGAUAUACUGUUAGUGCCUAAGCGAAAGCGAUAAGUAAUCCACCUGGGGAGUACGGUCGCAAGAUUGAAACUCAAAGGAAUUGACGGGGGCCCGCACAAGCGGUGGAGCAUGUGGUUUAAUUCGAUGAUACGCGAGGAACCUUACCUGGGCUUGAAUGUAGAUUGACAGGCUGGGAAACCAGUCCUCCUUCGGGCAAUCUACAAGGUGCUGCAUGGUUGUCGU
This 257-nucleotide ribosomal RNA is filed under the name uncultured bacterium. RNAcentral's name for it is "partial 16S ribosomal RNA". It matches the Rfam family "Bacterial small subunit ribosomal RNA", at positions 793 to 1055 of the family's 1533-position model. The record is from RNAcentral.